This is a non-coding RNA of Penaeus vannamei (Pacific white shrimp), 202 nucleotides long. The record is from RefSeq and is a predicted model, not a curated record. NCBI's taxonomy places the organism in Eukaryota, Metazoa, Arthropoda, Malacostraca, Decapoda, Penaeidae.
ACAGCCAUGUCUCUCAAGGUGAUCCUCGUAGCGUGUGUGGCCGCGGUGGCUCUGGCCGAUAAGGCUCCCGUGUACCACCAGCCACGUGUUUACGCCGCACCCACGUACCAUGCCCCUGCACCCUACAAGCAGCCUGAAUACCCUACCGCACCACCCAAGUACAACUACAACUACGGCGUCGCCGACGGCUACUCCGGCGCCA